AUGUCACCCAGCAAUGCAGAGCAAAAGGAGCCCACUUCUCUGAUCCAUCCCAGGUAUGGCGUGCAUGUCCCUGCAAGGACAGCAAAGGUCACACCAGUAGCCUGGGGACACCCAGGGAGCCUUUGUGCUGAAGAUGGCCCUGAGAGAGGAGACACAGUGGCUUCAUGGCUCCUCCAGGCCAGUAAUCCUGCAUACAUGAACGCCUGUGCGAGUAGAAGCAGGUUUCCCGGCAGAAACAUCAAUCACAGAACUGGAAGAGAGUGGCAAAAGGACAAAAGAGGCGGUAUCAUUUUCCCUUGUUUUGCUGCUACUCUUCUUUCUUUCACCUCGCUCCUCUCAGCUGCAGUGCUGCCCAUCUGUGGUGACAUGGACCCAGCCAGGGAAUACUUUCCACAGCCCCAAAAAGCUUGGCAGGAGAAGAAAUCAGCAGCUAAGCACCAAGGAGCAGCAGCAAUGAGGCAGAUGCAUGCUGCCACCAGAAGACAGCCCAGAGCCACCCCACAUCACAGCGAGCUGGGAGCUCCCAGCACUUGGGGUGGAGGUGAACACAGGAGGUGAAGGACAGGAGACAACCUGGGCUCCUUCACAACCAUCUCCACAUCUCCAACGUUCACCCUCAGCCACGUUCCCAUCCAAAUUCAUCAUUCCUUACUGCAAAUGCCACUUGUUACACAGCUAAACUGUGCUACAGUGCUGAAGGUUCAAACGCUACCAACCAUGCCUUGUAAGAAUGACACAACUGCCUAUUUUCUACAACUCCCAUUAUAAACUAUAGGAAAUAAAAUCCUCAUUGAAAGCA
This 799-nucleotide long non-coding RNA is filed under the name Anas platyrhynchos platyrhynchos (common mallard). Its description in RNAcentral is "lncRNA (ENSAPLG00000023486.1)". Lineage: Eukaryota; Metazoa; Chordata; Aves; Anseriformes; Anatidae. The record is from RNAcentral.